Molecule: unclassified non-coding RNA, 289 nt
Filed under: Hevea brasiliensis (rubber tree)
Lineage: Eukaryota; Viridiplantae; Streptophyta; Magnoliopsida; Malpighiales; Euphorbiaceae
Source: RNAcentral
GAUCGUCGACAACGAAACGAUCAGCGUCGACGGAAAGCUGAUCAAGGUGGUCGCCAACAGGGACCCGCUGCAGCUGCCAUGGGCUGAAAUGGGUAUUGACAUUGUCAUCGAGGGGACUGGAGUUUUCGUGGAUGGGCCAGGAGCCGGGAAGCACUUACAAGCUGGUGCAAAGAAGGUUAUCAUCACAGCACCAGCUAAAGGAGCUGAUAUCCCGACGUAUGUCGUGGGGGUGAAUGAAAAGGACUACCACCAUGAAGUCGCUAAUAUCAUAAGUAAUGCAUCUUGCACA